This 1451-nucleotide ribosomal RNA is filed under the name uncultured Bacteroides sp. RNAcentral describes it as "bacterial SSU rRNA". It matches the Rfam family "Bacterial small subunit ribosomal RNA". The record is from RNAcentral. Lineage: Bacteria; Pseudomonadati; Bacteroidota; Bacteroidia; Bacteroidales; Bacteroidaceae.
GAUGAACGCUAGCUACAGGCUUAACACAUGCAAGUCGAGGGGCAGCAUUUUAGUUUGCUUGCAAACUAAAGAUGGCGACCGGCGCACGGGUGAGUAACACGUAUCCAACCUGCCGAUAACUCGGGGAUAGCCUUUCGAAAGAAAGAUUAAUAUCCGAUAGUAUAUUAAAACCGCAUGGUUUUACUAUUAAAGAAUUUCGGUUAUCGAUGGGGAUGCGUUCCAUUAGUUUGUUGGCGGGGUAAUGGCCCACCAAGACUACGAUGGAUAGGGGUUCUGAGAGGAAGGUCCCCCACAUUGGAACUGAGACACGGUCCAAACUCCUACGGGAGGCAGCAGUGAGGAAUAUUGGUCAAUGGACGAGAGUCUGAACCAGCCAAGUAGCGUGAAGGAUGACUGCCCUAUGGGUUGUAAACUUCUUUUAUAUGGGAAUAAAGUAUUCCACGUGUGGAAUUUUGUAUGUACCAUAUGAAUAAGGAUCGGCUAACUCCGUGCCAGCAGCCGCGGUAAUACGGAGGAUCCGAGCGUUAUCCGGAUUUAUUGGGUUUAAAGGGAGCGUAGGUGGAUUGUUAAGUCAGUUGUGAAAGUUUGCGGCUCAACCGUAAAAUUGCAGUUGAAACUGGCAGUCUUGAGUACAGUAGAGGUGGGCGGAAUUCGUGGUGUAGCGGUGAAAUGCUUAGAUAUCACGAAGAACUCCGAUUGCGAAGGCAGCUCACUAGACUGCAACUGACACUGAUGCUCGAAAGUGUGGGUAUCAAACAGGAUUAGAUACCCUGGUAGUCCACACAGUAAACGAUGAAUACUCGCUGUUUGCGAUAUACAGUAAGCGGCCAAGCGAAAGCAUUAAGUAUUCCACCUGGGGAGUACGCCGGCAACGGUGAAACUCAAAGGAAUUGACGGGGGCCCGCACAAGCGGAGGAACAUGUGGUUUAAUUCGAUGAUACGCGAGGAACCUUACCCGGGCUUAAAUUGCAUUUGAAUAAUCUGGAAACAGGUUAGCCGCAAGGCAAAUGUGAAGGUGCUGCAUGGUUGUCGUCAGCUCGUGCCGUGAGGUGUCGGCUUAAGUGCCAUAACGAGCGCAACCCUUAUCUUUAGUUACUAACAGGUUAUGCUGAGGACUCUAGAGAGACUGCCGUCGUAAGAUGUGAGGAAGGUGGGGAUGACGUCAAAUCAGCACGGCCCUUACGUCCGGGGCUACACACGUGUUACAAUGGGGGGUACAGAAGGCAGCUACCUGGCGACAGGAUGCUAAUCCCAAAAACCUCUCUCAGUUCGGAUCGAAGUCUGCAACCCGACUUCGUGAAGCUGGAUUCGCUAGUAAUCGCGCAUCAGCCAUGGCGCGGUGAAUACGUUCCCGGGCCUUGUACACACCGCCCGUCAAGCCAUGAAAGCCGGGGGUACCUGAAGUACGUAACCGCAAGGAGCGUCCUAGGGUAAAACUGGUAAUUGGGGCU